Drosophila melanogaster (fruit fly) is the source of this 813-nucleotide non-coding RNA. The record is from Ensembl. NCBI's taxonomy places the organism in Eukaryota, Metazoa, Arthropoda, Insecta, Diptera, Drosophilidae.
GAAAAGGUCUCACGUAGCCGGGAAUCCACGCUGAAGUAGUAAUAAUAUAAAAUAAACUUCUUCUCCCCGUUUUAGCCAUCAUAUUCCACUGGUUGUGCAAUUUUUGUGUAGCGCUCUUUACGGCGUGAAGCGGAAUAAUUCAAUCAGCGCCGAAGUGAGGAAAAAGUGCCAAAAGCUCAGCUUGAUGUUGGCCAAAUGGGAAAGCGGGAAGGUGGGAGGUUGGAAAAGUGAGAUGUAGGAGUUGUCCCGUACGAAAUCCGAGCAAUUUAAACUCAAAACGCUUGCACUGAAGCAGGGCGCGUGCAACUUAAACAAACCGGAAAAGCAAAUACAACGCAGCGACACAGUUGAGGAGGAACUUCCUGUUUACGGAACAACAGCACCCAGUUUUUACAGAUCCAAGGAAGUGAGAGACAGAUAGACAGGCAGUACAAGUAGCACUGGUAGUAUCCCUGAUGUUAACGAAAGUCUUGGGCGUCUUGGCCAGGAACAUGUGCGUUGGCAGCUUAAUUUCGUUUACUUACCUGAAAGCUGUUUAUGUGCUUGCGAAAUUACGAAUUAAAUUUUUAAUUUGUCAAAAAGAACAACAGCUCGGCAACCGGAUACGUAGAGCAUGUGUGUGUGUGUCUGUGUGCUCGCUCCCAUGUGUAUCUGAACCAGCAUCCUGCAUCCGUGACGUUUGCCGUUCCAUUUCUAGAUGAUUAACUGCAGCCAGCGCGCUGAUAUCCCAAGCAAAGCAAUGCAAUUAAAUCGGGAUGCUUUAUGGAAAUUUAAGGGGCAAGUGACUCAGUUGUUAACAAUAUACGAUAAUUC